RNAcentral lists this ribosomal RNA (1314 nucleotides) under uncultured Alphaproteobacteria bacterium. RNAcentral describes it as "uncultured alpha proteobacterium 16S ribosomal RNA". It matches the Rfam family "Bacterial small subunit ribosomal RNA", at positions 33 to 1394 of the family's 1533-position model. The record is from RNAcentral. Lineage: Bacteria; Pseudomonadati; Pseudomonadota; Alphaproteobacteria.
ACGCUGGCGGCACGCCUAACACAUGCAAGUCGAACGAAGUAGUAAUACUUAGUGGCAGACGGGUGAGUAACAUGUAGGUAUCUGCCCUUUGGCCUGGAAUAACACGAGGAAACUUGUGCUAAUACCGGAUAAGUCUUUACGGAGAAAGCUUUAUGCACCAUUGGAUGAGCCUGCACUUGAUUAGUUUGUUGGUGGGGUAAUGGCCUACCAAGACUGUGAUCAAUAGCUGAUUUGAGAGGAUGAUCAGCCACAUUGGGACUGAGACACGGCCCAAACUCCUACGGGAGGCAGCAGUGGGGAAUCUUGCACAAUGGAGGAAACUCUGAUGCAGCGAUGCCGCGUGAGUGAAGAAGGCCUUUGGGUUGUAAAGCUCUUUCGUCGGGGAAGAAAAUGACUGUACCCGAAUAAGAAGGUCCGGCUAACUUCGUGCCAGCAGCCGCGGUAAUACGAAGGGACCUAGCGUAGUUCGGAAUUACUGGGCUUAAAGAGUUCGUAGGUGGUUGAAAAAGUUGGUGGUGAAAUCCCAGAGCUUAACUCUGGAACUGCCAUCAAAACUUUUCAGCUAGAGUAUGAUAGAGGAAAGCAGAAUUUCUAGUGUAGAGGUGAAAUUCGUAGAUAUUAGAAAGAAUACCAAUUGCGAAGGCAGCUUUCUGGAUCAUUACUGACACUGAGGAACGAAAGCAUGGGUAGCGAAGAGGAUUAGAUACCCUCGUAGUCCAUGCCGUAAACGAUGUGUGUUAGACGUUGGAAAUUUAUUUUCAGUGUCGCAGGGAAACCGAUAAACACACCGCCUGGGGAGUACGACCGCAAGGUUAAAACUCAAAUGAAUUGACGGGGACCCGCACAAGUAGUGGAGCAUGUGGUUUAAUUCGAAGAUACGCGCAGAACCUUACCAACACUUGACAUGUUCGUCGCGACUCUAAGAGAUUAGAGUUUUCGGUUCGGCCGGACGAAACACAGGUGCUGCAUGGCUGUCGUCAGCUCGUGUCGUGAGAUGUUGGGUUAAGUCCCGCAACGAGCGCAACCCUCACUUUUAGUUGCCAUCAUUAAGUUGGGCACUCUAAAAGAACUGCCAGUGAUAAGCUGGAGGAAGGUGGGGAUGACGUCAAGUCCUCAUGGCCCUUACGUGUUGGGCUACACACGUGCUACAAUGGCAUCUACAACAGGAAGCAAAACGGCAACGUUAAGCAAAUCCCGAAAAGAUGCCUCAGUUCGGAUUGCACUCUGCAACUCGAGUGCAUGAAGCUGGAAUUACUAGUAAUCGUGGAUCAGCGUGCCACGGUGAAUGCGUUCCCGGGUCUUGUACUCACCGCC